Molecule: ribosomal RNA, 248 nt
Filed under: uncultured Eubacterium sp.
Lineage: Bacteria; Bacillati; Bacillota; Clostridia; Eubacteriales; Eubacteriaceae
Description: partial 16S ribosomal RNA
Rfam family: Bacterial small subunit ribosomal RNA
Source: RNAcentral
UACGUAGGUGGCAAGCGUUGUCCGGAAUUACUGGGUGUAAAGGGAGCGCAGGCGGGAAGCCAAGUCAGCUGUGAAAACUACGGGCUUAACUUGUAGACUGCAGUUGAAACUGGUUUUCUUGAGUGAAGUAGAGGUUGGCGGAAUUCCGAGUGUAGCGGUGAAAUGCGUAGAUAUUCGGAGGAACACCGGUGGCGAAGGCGGCCAACUGGGCUUUAACUGACGCUGAGGCUCGAAGGCGCGGGUAUCGA